Molecule: transfer RNA, 88 nt
Filed under: Eggerthella sp. CAG:368
Lineage: Bacteria; Bacillati; Actinomycetota; Coriobacteriia; Eggerthellales; Eggerthellaceae
Also listed under: 2 other names
Description: transfer RNA-Ser(TGA)
Rfam family: tRNA
About the family: Transfer RNA (tRNA) molecules are approximately 80 nucleotides in length. Their secondary structure includes four short double-helical elements and three loops (D, anti-codon, and T loops).
Source: RNAcentral
GGAGGAAUGGCAGAGCGGUUGAAUGCGGCGGUCUUGAAAACCGUUGUACCGAGAGGUACCGUGGGUUCGAAUCCUACUUCCUCCGCCA